GAACAAUGGCGCUGUCAUGGCCCAGCAGAGCAGCUCUGAAGAUGCAAAGCAUUCUGGGUGUGGACGAUCAGCCAGUGAAGAUAAUGAAUGUCGGAUGUCACUGACUAGCAGCUUCAUUUUGAAUGAGGGUCGCUGUCUGCCCAUUGAUAAGAGGCCAGAUUGUCUUGGAAGUUCCAAAGUUGCAACGAUUUCUGGCUAGUGCCACGAGGUUUACUUGACUGUUGUAUGAAAAGCUGAUAAGAAAACCAUCCAGAAAAAAAGCUCUUCGUUUUACAAACACGAAAAUAAAACAUGUAAUUUUGGAUUAUGUUGUUUUUAA
Molecule: long non-coding RNA, 319 nt
Filed under: Theropithecus gelada (gelada)
Lineage: Eukaryota; Metazoa; Chordata; Mammalia; Primates; Cercopithecidae
Description: lncRNA (ENSTGEG00000018755.1)
Source: RNAcentral